GUGCUCACUUCAGCAGCACAUGUACUAAAAUUGGAAUGAUCCAGAAAAGAUUAGCAUGGUACUUGAGCACAAAUGACACACAAAUUUGUGCAUUCCAUAUUUUA
This 104-nucleotide small nuclear RNA is filed under the name Castor canadensis (American beaver). Lineage: Eukaryota; Metazoa; Chordata; Mammalia; Rodentia; Castoridae. The record is from RNAcentral.